AACGAACGCUGGCGGCAGGCUUAACACAUGCAAGUCGAGCGCAUCCUUCGGGGUGAGCGGCAGACGGGUGAGUAACGCGUGGGAAUCUACCUUUUGCUACGGAAUAGCUCCGGGAAACUGGAAUUAAUACCGUAUGUGCCCUUAGGGGGAAAGAUUUAUCGGCAAGAGAUGAGCCCGCGUUGGAUUAGCUAGUUGGUGGGGUAAAGGCCUACCAAGGCGACGAUCCAUAGCUGGUCUGAGAGGAUGAUCAGCCACAUUGGGACUGAGGCACGGCCCAAACUCCUACGGGAGGCAGCAGUGGGGAAUAUUGGACAAUGGGCGCAAGCCUGAUCCAGCCAUGCCGCGUGAGUGAUGAAGGCCUUAGGGUUGUAAAGCUCUUUCACCGGAGAAGAUAAUGACGGUAUCCGGAGAAGAAGCCCCGGCUAACUUCGUG
RNAcentral lists this ribosomal RNA (433 nucleotides) under uncultured bacterium. RNAcentral's name for it is "partial 16S ribosomal RNA". It matches the Rfam family "Bacterial small subunit ribosomal RNA", at positions 29 to 507 of the family's 1533-position model. The record is from RNAcentral.